UGGGGAAUAUUGGACAAUGGGCGAAAGCCUGAUCCAGCAAUGCCGCGUGUGUGAAGAAGGCCUUAGGGUUGUAAAGCACUAGCAAUGGGGAAGAAGUUAUUGUAGCUAAUACCUGCAGUGAUUGACGUUACCCAAAUAAGAAGCACCGGCUAACUCUGUGCCAGCAGCCGCGGUAAUACAGAGGGUGCAAGCGUUAAUCGGAAUUACUGGGCGUAAAGAGUGCGAAGGUUGAAUAUUAAGUCAGAUGUGAAAACCCAGGGCUUAACCUUGGAAUUGCAUCUGAUACUGAUAAUCUAGAGUAUGGUAGAGGAUAGUGGAAUUUCCGGUGUAGCGGUGAAAUGCGUAGAUAUCGGAAGGAACACCAGUGGCGAAGGCGACUAUCUGGGCCGAUACUGACACU
This 400-nucleotide ribosomal RNA is filed under the name uncultured bacterium. Its description in RNAcentral is "bacterial SSU rRNA". It matches the Rfam family "Bacterial small subunit ribosomal RNA", at positions 355 to 747 of the family's 1533-position model. The record is from RNAcentral.